RNAcentral lists this ribosomal RNA (253 nucleotides) under uncultured bacterium. RNAcentral's name for it is "partial 16S ribosomal RNA". It matches the Rfam family "Bacterial small subunit ribosomal RNA", at positions 524 to 776 of the family's 1533-position model. The record is from RNAcentral.
UACAGAGGGGGCAAGCGUUGUUCGGAAUUACUGGGCGUAAAGGGCGCGUAGGUGGCCUUCUAAGUUGAACGUGAAAUCCCUGGGCUCAACCCAGGAACUGCGUCCAAGACUGGGAGGCUUGAAUCCGGGAGAGGGAUGCGGAAUUCCAGGUGUAGCGGUGAAAUGCGUAGAUAUCUGGAGGAACACCGGUGGCGAAGGCGGCAUCCUGGACCGGUAUUGACACUGAGGCGCGAAGGCCAGGGGAGCAAACGGG